RNAcentral lists this long non-coding RNA (457 nucleotides) under Fukomys damarensis (Damara mole-rat). RNAcentral describes it as "lncRNA (ENSFDAG00000031766.1)". Lineage: Eukaryota; Metazoa; Chordata; Mammalia; Rodentia; Bathyergidae. The record is from RNAcentral.
CCCUCGGGAAGGAGCUGUAGCCUCCUUCACGGUUCUCCACUGGGCAGUUACAAGCUCCUCUAGGGCAGAGAUGAGGGCUCCCUCAUCCGUCCUCAUGGUCCACACUAAGAGCUCAGCACAAAGGACCGGCAUGCCAAACAUAGGUUGUGACCGUAGGAGGUGAGCCGGAACACCUCCCGGGGAAGUGCAGAGAUUCAGAAGCACAGCUGAGGACACGGGAAAGGAUGAAGUCAGUGAUCUAAAAAGAUGUCUGCGUCCUCCUGGCAUCUGUGGCCCUCUUGACUUUACCGUCUCGGAUGGCGCUGAGCAGCAGCUGAACAGCCCAGAAUCCCUCCCUCGGGGACACUGUCUGGAAACCGCCAGUUCAACCGUGUGCCGUUUUGGGGACUCACAAGAGAAUCAUCGACCACGACCAGGAGUAGACUGUGAGAAAGCCAAAGCUCACAUUGUAGUGCCC